GUGGGGUGACGGCGUGCCUAUCGAAAAAUGAGUCUGCGAGUCAGUGGUGCGUGGCGAGGCUAACCCGUGGUGGGGGAGCCGUAGCGAAGGCGAGUCUCAAAAGGCGUUUUGAGUCGCGCGCCCUGGACCCGAAGCGGGAUGAUCUAGCCCUGGGCAGGUUGAAGCGCGGGUAAGACCGCGUGGAGGACCGAACCCACCUGGGUUGAAAACCGGGGGGAUGACCUGGGGCUAGGGGUGAAAGGCCAAUCAAAUUCCGUGAUAGCUGGUUCUCUCCGAAAUGCAUUUAGGUGCAGCGUCGGUUGAUUGCAUCGCGGGGGUAGAGCUACUGGAUGCUUGCGGGCCCGUGUCGGGUACCAAUAGCAGCCAAACUCCGAAUACCGUGGAUGUGUAUUCCGGCAGUGAGUCGGCGGGGGAUAAGCUCCGUCGUCGAGAGGGAGACAGCCCAGAUCGUCGUCUAAGGUCCCGAAGCGUGUGCUAAGUGGGAAAGGAUGUGGAGUCGCAUAGACAGCCAGGAGGUUGGCUCAGAAGCAGCCAUCCUUGAAAGAGUGCGUAACAGCUCACUGGUCUAGUGGUUCCGCGCCGACAAUGUAGCGGGGCUCAAGCACACCACCGAAGACGCGGCAACGGUCGUAUGGCCGUUGGGUAGGAGAGCGUCCCGCGUGGGGCGAAGCGGCCGGGGAACCGUGCCGUGGACCGCGCGGGAGUGAGAAUGCAGACAUGAGUAGCGAGAGACGGGUGAGGAUCCCGUCCGCUGGAUGACCAAGGGUUCCGGGGCCACGUUCGUCGUCCCCGGGUGAGUCGGGUCCUAAGGCGAGGCCGACAGGCGUAGUCGAAUGGAUGAACGGGUGGAUAUUCCCGUACCGGCGGCGUACCGUAAGAGCCGAACGGAUGAGUACUAACCUCCGGUCGCGUGGCGUCGUUCCCUUCGGGGUUCGGGGUCCGCGGUCGUUGGGAGCGUAGUCCUGGUAGGCUAGCGCACAGGGGUGACACGGAAUGGGAGCCGGCCGCGGAGGUGGUUUUCCGUGGUCAAGCACGCAGCCCGUCCCAUAGGCAAAUCCGUGGGACGCAUAGGGUGAGGUGUGAUGAUGGGCGUCCUUUGGACGCGAUAUCCGGUGGUCCAGGCCGUCGAGAAAAGCCUCGGCGCGAGGGGCGUCGCCGCCCGUACCCCAAACCGACACUGGUGGUCAGGUAGAGAAUACCAAGGCGAUCGAGCGAAUCCUGGUCAAGGAACUCGGCAAAUCACUCCCGUGCCUUCGGUAUAAGGGAGACCCCCGGGCGUGAAGAGGCUUGCCCUCGGAGCGUUGGGGGGUGGCACAGACCAGGGGGUAGCGACUGUUUACCAAAAACACAGGUGCAUGCGAAGGCGCAAGCCGCUGUAUAUGCACUGACGCCUGCCCGGUGCCGGAAGGUUAAGAGGAUCCGUCAGCCCCUUUUGGGGUGAAGCGGUGAAUUCAAGCCCCGGUAAACGGCGGUGGUAACUAUAACCAUCCUAAGGUAGCGAAAUUCCUUGUCGGGUAAGUUCCGACCUGCACGAAUGGCGUAACGACUUCCCCACUGUCUCGACCAGGAGCUCGGCGAAAUUGCAGUACGAGUAAAGAUGCUCGUUAAGCGCAGAAGGACGAAAAGACCCCGGGACCUUUACUAUACCUUGGUAUUGGCGUUAGGCGCGGAUUGUGUAGCAUAGGCGGGAGGCUUCGAAGCAUGGGCGCCAGCCCGUGUGGAGCCGCAAGGUGAAAUACCGCUCUGUUCUCGUUUGACGUCUAACCUCGAACAGUCAUCCUGUUCAGGGACAGUGCCUGGCGGGUAGUUUAACUGGGGCGGUUGCCUCCCAAAGAGUAACGGAGGCGCUCAAAGGUCCGCUCAGCCCGGUUGGCAAUCGGG
RNAcentral lists this ribosomal RNA (1881 nucleotides) under Bifidobacterium pseudocatenulatum. RNAcentral's name for it is "bacterial LSU rRNA". It matches the Rfam family "Bacterial large subunit ribosomal RNA", at positions 588 to 2342 of the family's 2925-position model. The record is from RNAcentral. Lineage: Bacteria; Bacillati; Actinomycetota; Actinomycetes; Bifidobacteriales; Bifidobacteriaceae.